This 30-nucleotide non-coding RNA is filed under the name Mus musculus (house mouse). The record is from RNAcentral. Lineage: Eukaryota; Metazoa; Chordata; Mammalia; Rodentia; Muridae.
UAUAAUAAACUAGAGACUACGCAAUUGUAU